This 1531-nucleotide long non-coding RNA is filed under the name Gallus gallus (chicken). RNAcentral's name for it is "lncRNA (ENSGALG00010010767.1)". The record is from RNAcentral. Lineage: Eukaryota; Metazoa; Chordata; Aves; Galliformes; Phasianidae.
AAUUAAGGGUGACCCCCACUGGGGAAAGAUCUCUGGUUUGGGAUCCUUUCCUUGUGGAAUUUCUUCUGUGGGCCUAGAUUCCCUGGAGAUAAGAUGCUCACGCGACCCCCUGGUGAGAGGAAAUGAAUUGUGGAGCUCCAUCCUUCCAUGAAGGAAAAAGAGAUGAGGAAUUUGGAUUACCUUUGUCUGAAUAUGAUGCAAGAGCUGUUUCAGUGUCAGGUUCUUGCAAUGCCAGUGAAAGGAAGACCCUACAGGACGUUCCUGGAUCUCAGAGAAGCCAUUCUGAACUGUGGCUCCUGCCACAAAUCAGAGCCAUGUGCCAAAAUGGUUAAAACUUCUGUACAGGAAACAUCAGGGAAGAAGAGCCAGUUACAGUGCUGUUUUCUGACAUAAAUCAGCAAAGCUUAAAGGCACUGCUGCAUAUGGACACGAGAUGCUAAAAUUUAACUUUAAAAAGGGGUCAGCAAAGUGACUGUCAAUUUUAGAGAAAAUGAGUACUUUUUUUUUCUUAAUAUUCUUAGUUAACUUCUCCAACUUUUCAAAAAUUAUUAUUUUUGAUGAAACUUCUUAUCAAACUUUUCAAAUUUCAGUGUGAAACAGAUUGUCGUCACUGCAAUGCUCAGCCCAAACAGCGACAGAGUAAAAUAGCUUCAAGAAGCUCUAUUCUCCAAUUGGGAAGCACAGGACAGCCUUCAUUAAAAACAAACACAUAAAUAAGUCCCCUGGAAUAAAACCAGAGCAACUUACAGCACCCCACAGUGCUCUAAUUUUGCUCCUGUGCCCAACAUGUUGUGCUGUGCUUCAUGUGCCAGAGGGACAAUCUGAGUCUGUAAUGUCAGAAGAGUACAUCUGCACAGUAAGAACAGAAUGAAAAUGGUAGAUUCACCAUGCUGAAGGUCAAGGAGACCUUUCUCUUUGCUGUCUGUGUUCAGAAGGACCAGAGGGAUGAAUAACUUCUCAAGCUUCAGCAAGUGGCGGUUAUGGGUUAGAUGUGAAACUGAGCUUGGACUAUUAACAUCUCCUAAAUGCCUCCCCAAAAUCAAGAAUAUUACCAUCACUUCUUGGCCAUCAUCCUGUCACGGUAAUGACAUUUCAAUUGUUUGAACUCCUCCGUGGGACUGUAGCCAAAUAACAGAUUCCUUGCUGGAAUAAAGCAUUCCACUCAGAAACACAACUGGUUUUGAGUGCUGUCAUGUUUAUGCAGUUCUCUGCCAAAGCAAAGCACACUCUUGUUUUUAUUGGAUUAAUAAAGGAUUGUUCUGGAAAACAAUGCUAUUAUUAUACGUGACUUUUUGGAAGAGACCCUCUGCAGAUAACCGUAGCGUUGCACAAAGAAAGAUUAACCAGGAAGGUUGUUUUCUUGCUUUUCUGAGCUCUGCUGAGUGCUAGAACGCAAGUCAUAGAGGAGAACCUCCUGCAUCCCACUCACAACUGAGGGCAACCAUUCCUGGCGGUGGGACAGGCCUGCAGGACAUCACAGCUUCACGGCUUUGCCACCAGCGACAAAGGAGAGCUGAGCUGGGAGGAGCAG